UCGAGAAUCUUUCGCAAUGGGCGAAAGCCUGACGAAGCGACGCUGUGUGAACGAUGAAGGCCUUCGGGUUGUAAAGUUCUUUCGCUAAGGAACAAGGGAUAGGAGCUAAUAAUUCUUAAACUUGAGGGUACUUGGUAAAGAAGGACCGGCUAACUCCGUGCCAGCAGCUGCGGUAAUACGGAGGGUCCAAGCAUUAAUCGGAUUUACUGGGCGUAAAGGGCGCGUAGGCGGAUAGAUAAGUCAGAUGUGAAAUUUCGGUGCUCAACAUCGAAGCUGCAUUUGAAACUGUAGAUCUAGAGGAUGGAAGGAGAAAACGGAAUUCCACGUGUAGCGGUGAAAUGCGUAGAUAUGUGGAAGAACACCUGUGGCGAAAGCGGUUUUCUAUUUUAUUCCUGACGCU
Molecule: ribosomal RNA, 400 nt
Filed under: uncultured bacterium
Lineage: Bacteria
Description: bacterial SSU rRNA
Rfam family: Bacterial small subunit ribosomal RNA
Source: RNAcentral